Molecule: ribosomal RNA, 263 nt
Filed under: uncultured bacterium
Lineage: Bacteria
Description: partial 16S ribosomal RNA
Rfam family: Bacterial small subunit ribosomal RNA
Source: RNAcentral
CCGGCGCACGGGUGAGUAACGCGUAUGCAACCUGCCCGUUUCAGCGGGAUAACCCGGAGAAAUCCGGCCUAGUACCGCAUGUGGCCGAGGGGAGGCAUCUUCUUUCGGCCAAAGGAGGCGACUCCGGAGACGGAUGGGCAUGCGUGACAUUAGCUAGUUGGCGGGGUAACGGCCCACCAAGGCGACGAUGUCUAGGGGUUCUGAGAGGAAGGUCCCCCACACUGGUACUGAGACACGGACCAGACUCCUACGGGAGGCAGCAG